AAGUGGGCUUGGAAGCAGCCACCUUUUAGCGAUAGCGUAACAGCUCAGUGGUCUGAGCCUCCCUGUAAAAAGGGAAUAUUGCCUGGUGAGGGCGCCAAAAAUGUAACGGGUCUAUAGUAGUUGUCUCUCUGUUCCAGCUUUGGAUAUGGAGGGAGUGGCAGUUUCUUCACUGUCUCACCGAAACCCUGUCCUAGAUGUAAAAUUCUAGGGGUAGCAGAAUACCCAGCAAAUGGAAUGAAGCUUGCUCAUUGAGCCGGUGGACAUAGCUGGGCUAAGAAUGCUGACAUGAGUAGCCUAAAAGGAGGGUAAUUCCCUCUUCGCCGAAAGCAGAAGGGUUUCAUUUGUAAGGUCUAUACCUAGAUGAUUAAAGCAGCGGCCUCUAAGGUUCAGAGUAACAAAUUAGUUCCGAUGAGUAACUCUUCUAUAGGGCAGUAACCUUCCUUAUAAGCUUACCUUCAAGUAAUUAGAGGUAUACUUCAAAGAGUAAGGUUCGGGAAAGAGCCCUACAGAAUCAAUCUUAAAACCGUACCCUAAACCGACACAGGUCUGCAAGUAGAGCAUACUAAGGCGUAGAGAUAAUCGUCUUGAAGGAACUCGGCAAAAUGACCCCGUAACUUCGGGAGAAGGGGUGCCACUAAUAAGUGGCGGCACUAAACAGGGGGGCGCGACUGUUUACUUAAAACACCGGACUCUGCUAACACCAGCGUGGAUGUAUAGAGUCUGAUACC
RNAcentral lists this ribosomal RNA (728 nucleotides) under Rhizophagus intraradices. RNAcentral describes it as "LSU rRNA". It matches the Rfam family "Bacterial large subunit ribosomal RNA", at positions 1098 to 1859 of the family's 2925-position model. Lineage: Eukaryota; Fungi; Glomeromycota; Glomeromycetes; Glomerales; Glomeraceae. The record is from RNAcentral.